ACUUCUAACAUAGUUUAAGGGUAGAUGAGCAUUAUGAAUUAUGGGUUGUGGUUUUUCCAGCUCAUGAUGUAUAGCAUACAGUGGAAUGUAUAGAUAUUUUAUGGGAAAUAUUACCUUUCAGGUCACUUUGGAACUUCUUGGGUGAAGCACUACUGUACAUAUCAACGGGAUUCCAAACAAAUCACCAUGGUACCAUUUGACCAAAAGUCAGGAGGAAAAGGGGGAGAAGAUGAAUCAGUUACCCUCAAAUCCUGCACACGGCGGAAAACAGACUCCAUUGAGAAGAGGUUUUGCUUUGAUGUGGAAGCAGUAGACAGGCCAGGGGUUAUCACCAUGCAAGCUUUGUCGGAAGAGGACCGGAGGCUCUGGAUGGAAGCCAUGGAUGGCCGGGAACCUGUCUACAACUCGAACAAAGACAGCCAGAGUGAAGGGACUGCGCAGUUGGACAGCAUUGGCUUCAGCAUAAUCAGGAAAUGCAUCCAUGCUGUGGAAACCAGAGGGAUCAACGAGCAAGGGCUGUAUCGAAUUGUGGGGGUCAACUCCAGAGUGCAGAAGUUGCUGAGUGUCCUGAUGGACCCCAAGACUGCUUCUGAGACAGAAACAGAUAUCUGUGCUGAAUGGGAGAUAAAGACCAUCACUAGUGCUCUGAAGACCUACCUAAG
RNAcentral lists this small RNA (662 nucleotides) under Pan troglodytes (chimpanzee). RNAcentral describes it as "retained intron". The record is from RNAcentral. Lineage: Eukaryota; Metazoa; Chordata; Mammalia; Primates; Hominidae.